Molecule: ribosomal RNA, 619 nt
Filed under: Mariannaea samuelsii
Lineage: Eukaryota; Fungi; Ascomycota; Sordariomycetes; Hypocreales; Nectriaceae
Description: eukaryotic LSU rRNA
Rfam family: Eukaryotic large subunit ribosomal RNA
Source: RNAcentral
ACCCGCUGAACUUAAGCAUAUCAAUAAGCGGAGGAAAAGAAACCAACAGGGAUUGCCCUAGUAACGGCGAGUGAAGCGGCAACAGCUCAAAUUUGAAAUCUGGCCCUCGGGUCCGAGUUGUAAUUUGUAGAGGAUGCUUUUGGUGCGGUGCCUUCCGAGUUCCCUGGAACGGGACGCCAUAGAGGGUGAGAGCCCCGUCUGGUUGGACGCCAAUCCUCUGUAAAGCUCCUUCGACGAGUCGAGUAGUUUGGGAAUGCUGCUCUAAAUGGGAGGUAUAUGUCUUCUAAAGCUAAAUACCGGCCAGAGACCGAUAGCGCACAAGUAGAGUGAUCGAAAGAUGAAAAGCACUUUGAAAAGAGAGUUAAAAAGUACGUGAAAUUGUUGAAAGGGAAGCGCUUAUGACCAGACUUGGGCUUGGUAGAUCAACCUGGGUUCUCCCUGGUGCACUCUUCCUCGUCCAGGCCAGCAUCAGUUCGCUGCGGGGGAUAAAGGUUUCGGGAAUGUGGCUCCCUCGGGAGUGUUAUAGCCCGUUGCGUAAUACCCUGCGGUGGACUGAGGUUCGCGUUCUGCAAGGAUGCUGGCGUAAUGGUCAUCAGCGACCCGUCUUGAAACACGGACC